This is a long non-coding RNA of Columba livia (rock pigeon), 2916 nucleotides long. RefSeq lists it as uncharacterized. The record is from RefSeq and is a predicted model, not a curated record. Lineage: Eukaryota; Metazoa; Chordata; Aves; Columbiformes; Columbidae. The transcript is spliced from 7 exons.
AGAAACCAUCUAUGCACCUUCCCCUCUCCUUGCACACCGCUGUGUUUCAUAGGGGGCGAGCUGUCCCCCCCGACCCCCCAUCCCGACGCUGGGCCGAGCGGCAGCAGCGGGCGCUGCGCUCCAGGCGGGCAGGGCCGAUGUACCAGGGUGGGGUGACAGAUGUACCGGGGGAGACCGGCAGCCAUCCUGCCCUGACCUUGCACCGCCGCUUCCCCCGACCGGUAACUUCCCGAAAUGCCGCCGAAUCACGCUCGUCAUCCUUUUUCAGCUGAUGUCGCCUGAUUUCUCCUUUCUUCCUUGCUGAGCGGUAUCAAGGAAAACAGUGAAGGACCCAAGUGAUACGGUGCCAUUGCAAAGGCUGCAGCCAAGGUUGCAGCAGCUCCUGGUUGUGCAAAGCUGAGGCGGUGCCAUAGUGUUGUCUCUGCCAUCCCUGCACAUACACAACAGGGCAAGGGUGAUACAAAUGGGACACAAACCUACAGGAGUAGAUUUGGUUCAGCAGGUUUCCCCAAAUGGGUGAAACUGGCAUGUCUCCACAUCCAACCUUCUGCAGGGAGCGAGGUGGAGGGAUGCCCAGCCUUGGAGAGGACCCUGUGUCUGGUGUUCCAGAAGGAAGAUGCUCUCCAAUCAUGUGUCCUAUCCCUGCAGAGCAUCUGCAGGGAUGCAGCUGAGGAACUCCAUUCUCAUGGAACGUCCUCCACUGCAAGGACAUGAGGUUGCCAACAUUGACAUCGGCAAGUCUGAUACAGGCUGGUACCGAAUCUCAGUAAUUUAUUUUGUCUGGAAAGGAUUGGUGAUAGAUACAUAAUUUACAUUAUCUAACAUUUGUUAUUCAUACAUAUGAACAAACACCUUUGAGGACUGGGUCUUCAGGCAUUCCAAACUCUGUAAGAGUUUAUAGUUAUAUAAGUUAUGCAAUUUACUGGGACUGAAAUAUUGCCCCAGGUCUCACUUGAAGAGGGUGGGAGUUUUGAUUUGAGCAGGAAAAGCAUCAAGGCUUGUUAGCUGUGCCUGCUGGUGUGGACACCUCCUUUGCAAGAUUCAUAUUAUCACUCUAUAGCUUUUUGUGCACUUCUCUGUUGCCUUUGUUUUCCCCUAAUAUUAUCUGAAUUUUAGACUGCUCCCAUUAACCUUUGCCUCAUGACAAAUCUGGCCAUAUGCUAAAUAAUACCUCCUCUUCCCUGCAGUUCUGUGAGGUUCCUGUCACUGGGGAUCCUUUGUAGUUGGUCUAUCUGGAGAGUCGGAAGGCAUCUCUUCUGGAAGAUGAACAAGUCAAAUUUUCCUCUCCCUGAGGCAGCAGAGGCUGGUGAGCCAGCCUGGCUUUUCCAGAGAGGUCAGUGGGCCACAAUAUUUUAAUAUGGUUUUGCUCUAAUCCUGUGACCUUACAUAUGCACUUGAAAAGAAGUGGUAAGGCUGAACAACCCAAUCAUUUGUUUUUCUGUUUAAAAGAGCUUAUCUGAAACUUUGCAAACAGAGCUUAUUUCAGGUUUUAUUUCUAAAAGUAUACACAGCCCUUAAGUGCAAAAAGGAAAAAAAUAUCAAUGUAUGCAAACUUGUUCAAAGUACUUGAAGACGUGAACUUACUUUAUCCUUUUGUGCUCUCUGGUAGGUGACCUGGCUUUGUGUGCUACCAUGGAACCACCACAAGGGACUGAGAGGUAGAUCAGCUGAUGUCUAUCACAUUCAACAGUAGUAUCCAGUUGUAGCAGAGCUGAUGGAGGCUGGUCCUCUUCCUUACAGUCCCCAGAAGGUGCUGGAACACAUCCUCAUUGAAUCUGAUGCCUAACAUGGGCAGGAUGAGAAGCCCUUCAGCCAGCAAGGGUUUACCAAGACCAACACGUGCUUGGCCAACCUGACUGCCCUCCCUGGUGAGAUGAGAGACCAUACGGAGCUUCCCCAACCUCCUCCUCUAAAGCCAAGAGGUCUUUCCUUUCCCAGUCAACACUUCUACUACAAUAUGAAAAAGAAAAAGAGGGAACGGAAUCCUAAAUUUUUCAACUUCAGGUGUUCAUCAACACUGUUUUAUUUUCCACAUUGGAUUUUUGGUUUCCAUUAAAAAGAAAAAAAUAAAUAAUCUUAUCUGAACACAAAUUUGGCUGCUUUCAGAGCCUGAAGAGCAUCUUACACGUGCAAAGAAGGAGAGCGAAGCUUGUGAGCCCUGUGUGAAGGCCCUGGGUACAUGUGACACCCAAACCUCCUCAAUAUAUUUUGAUUAUUUCCUUCUCAUUUCUGUUCAGCCCUGUGAAUUCUAAAUCCCUCUUCUUCCUUUGUCUUUUAAAUGCUAUUUGUACCAUUUUAUCCUCAGUGUUCCUUUUUUUUUUUUAAUCCCUUCCAUAAAAAGCAAUAAAAUAUUAAUGUGGCAUAAAAAAAUCUGUCUGUGCUGGGACUCUCUUGAAACCAUUGAUGAAUCCAUGAAUAAAAUAUGAAUCUUUAUUUUGCUUGUGGUAUAUCAGAUUUCGCAUGUUUAUUAUAUUUUCUGUGAAGUGAGGUUGUCCAACAAAGUUUUUAUUCAUUUGUUUGCCUGCUUUUAUUUUAGGUAGCCCUUGAUUUAUUAACCUUUGAAAAAGCUAAUGUCCGACAUAGUCUUACAUGAAACAUGAAACUUUCAUUUGGAUCAAUUUGCUAGUCUCUCUCAUCUGAAAAAGGAAGAAGAAAAAAGGAAAAAUAAAAAGAAACUGUGCUUAUCCCAGAAAAUGCAUAUUUUUUUUCACCCUUGUGCUGUUGAGUUGCAUCUUCCAGUAUUACCUUGGCCUGAGAAAGAGUCUUUUGAAUGCGAUGAGUGAUGUUCACUGUAAAAAAACCCCAAAUCCCCAAAUCUGGAGUAUUGUGACUUUUUUUCCCCAAUGUAUCUUUCUUUUUCUUUGGCAAUCUUAAUUAACAUUUUUAUUCCAAUUACACACUAAUUUGAAAAUUGAA